CUAGAAAAAAACAAAAACAAAAAAAACUAGUGGAUUCAAUAACUAUAAGCGUACAUUAGCUUUCUAAUAAAAAAACGCAUAGAGGACACAAACUAUAGUAUAGUAUAAUUAAUAUACUAUGAACAUGCUUAUCAAACCUAAUAUAUAGCAACCUUUGUCCCCAUAUAUAGAUGGAGGAGGGCAUGCAUUGACCAUUGAAUUGUUGCUUCCAAUUAGUAGAAAAAAUUGUUCGCACUUCGCACACCUUUCCUAGCUGAACCGGUCAGCCAUCACGAGCCCCAGCUAACGGAUCUCGGAAGACCCCAGAUCGCUUAACAAGUCCAUGUUUAUUUUUCUUGGAGAAUAAUGGGUUCCAUCCAUCCUAUUGACAUUGAUUAGUUUGGUUUUGUAUUUUAAAAAAUAAAUUAGAAUUUUUUUGUCAUCAGAUCGUUUUGAUGUGUUAUAUAAAGAUUAUUUUUUCUUUUAAUAAAUAUUAUUUAAAUAAGUUAAAAACAUUAUUGUCAUUAAAAACAUUACUGUCAAUAUCCCCCCCCCCCACACACACCCAAAACAGUAAUACGCGGCUGUACUGAAAGUUUUUCUGAUUUGACCACAGCGUGGCAUGUUUUUCUGCCUCUUCGCGUACUCGGAAGCCUCGUCCCACCUUGUGUGGAUCAUUCAACUCCUACCAAAAGCAAAGGGAGAAGUUUGAAAACAAUGAAUAUGAGGAAAAUGAAGGACCAAUGAAUUGACAUGAAGCUUUAAAGGAGUUGAAUGAGAUAUGGGCGUAAAAGCUAAAGGCUAAUUCAAUGUAUGGCCAUAUCUUUCAGGCCUUCACGAAUCUGAAAUCGUCCCUCUCCUUUCAAUCCGUGUGACCACAGGAAAAGAAAAUAAUAAAAAUAAACCAAGCACAUGGUGUUUUUCUUUUUCUUUUUUUCCUUGCUAUUAUUACCACAACGUGCCUGCCUGCCUGCUUCGGUGCUUCGAGAUUGAAGCCUUGUUUUCUUCGUAUAAAUUGAACAGUGAAAUGGGUUUCUUUUAAUACUAAUAUUCAACCCACACGCAAAGACUUGAAUGAUUGAAUCGCCCUCAUGCACACACGAAUUUGACACGGGUU
RNAcentral lists this long non-coding RNA (1096 nucleotides) under Populus tremula. RNAcentral's name for it is "long non-coding RNA (PTRE_LNC000939)". Lineage: Eukaryota; Viridiplantae; Streptophyta; Magnoliopsida; Malpighiales; Salicaceae. The record is from RNAcentral.